Molecule: ribosomal RNA, 688 nt
Filed under: uncultured Planctomycetota bacterium
Lineage: Bacteria; Pseudomonadati; Planctomycetota
Description: bacterial SSU rRNA
Rfam family: Bacterial small subunit ribosomal RNA
Source: RNAcentral
GAGUUUGAUCCUGGCUCAGAAUGAACGUUGGCGGCGUGUUUAGGCAUGCAAGUCGAACGCGUGUAGCAAUACACGAGUGGCGAAAGGGACAGUAACACGUAGAUACGUACCCUCCGGCCUGGGAUAGUCCGUCGAAAGACGGGGUAAUACCAGAUAACGUCUCCGGACCAAAGGUGUGAUUCCACCGGUGGAGCGGUCUGCGUCCUAUUAGCUUGUUGGUGGGGUGAUGGCCUACCAAGGCAAUGAUGGGUAGCGGGUGUGAGAGCACGACCCGCGUCACUGGGACUGAGACACUGCCCAGACACCUACGGGUGGCUGCAGUCGAGGAUCUUCGGCAAUGGACGCAAGUCUGACCGAGCGACGCCGCGUGCGGGAUGAAGGCUUUCGGGUUGUAAACCGCUGUCAGUGGGGAGGAAAUCUAGGUGGGUACUCUCAUCUAGUUGACCUAUCCGCAGAGGAAGCAAGGGCUAAGUUCGUGCCAGCAGCCGCGGUAAGACGAACCUUGCUAACGUUAUUCGGAAUUACUGGGCUUAAAGGGUGCGUAGGCGGUGCCGGAAAGUCGGGUGUGAAAUCCCCCACUCAACUGGGGAAUUGCGCCUGAAACUACCGUACUCGAGGAAAGCAGAGGUACCCGGAACUUAGGGUGGAGCGGGAAAUGCGUUGAUAUCCUAAGGAACACCGGUGGCGA